This 202-nucleotide unclassified non-coding RNA is filed under the name Hevea brasiliensis (rubber tree). The record is from RNAcentral. Lineage: Eukaryota; Viridiplantae; Streptophyta; Magnoliopsida; Malpighiales; Euphorbiaceae.
GGAACCAACAGUCUGUAAGUACCCUCUUACAUAUAUAUAUACCCUUUCCUCCUUUCCCAAUGCAAGACCAAGAUUUCCCCUCUCUCUCUUUCCCCUCUGAUGAGUAUGCACAUGUACUAGUUUAGCCCAUGUGUGUGUGUGGCUUACCGUAUUAAAAAAAAAAGGAAUUUUUUGUUAGGUUCAAGGAGAAAGAAAUUCCGUG